Molecule: ribosomal RNA, 497 nt
Filed under: uncultured bacterium
Lineage: Bacteria
Description: partial 16S ribosomal RNA
Rfam family: Bacterial small subunit ribosomal RNA
Source: RNAcentral
GAUGAACGCUGGCGGCGUGCCUAAUACAUGCAAGUCGAGCGAACAGACGAGGAGCUUGCUCCUCUGACGUUAGCGGCGGACGGGUGAGUAACACGUGGAUAACCUACCUAUAAGACUGGGAUAACUUCGGGAAACCGGAGCUAAUACCGGAUAAUAUAUUGAACCGCAUGGUUCAAUAGUGAAAGACGGUUUUGCUGUCACUUAUAGAUGGAUCCGCGCCGCAUUAGCUAGUUGGUAAGGUAACGGCUUACCAAGGCAACGAUGCGUAGCCGACCUGAGAGGGUGAUCGCCCACACUGGAACUGAGACACGGUCCAGACUCCUACGGGAGGCAGCAGUAGGGAAUCUUCCGCGAAGGGCGAAAGCCUGACGGAGCAACGCCGCGUGAGUGAUGAAGGUCUUCGGAUCGUAAAACUCUGUUAUUAGGGAAGAACAAAUGUGUAAGUAACUAUGCACGUCUUGACGGUACCUAAUCAGAAAGCCACGGCUAACUACGUG